RNAcentral lists this transfer-messenger RNA (302 nucleotides) under Planctomycetota bacterium. RNAcentral's name for it is "Planctomycetes bacterium (marine metagenome) transfer-messenger RNA". It matches the Rfam family "transfer-messenger RNA", at positions 82 to 374 of the family's 374-position model. Rfam says of the family: Bacterial tmRNA, also known as 10Sa RNA or SsrA, is named for its dual tRNA and mRNA-like properties. The record is from RNAcentral. Lineage: Bacteria; Pseudomonadati; Planctomycetota.
GGGAGUGUUCUGCCCAGAUGUCGUGUGACAGUGCGUGUGCUUUAGCUUUUGUACGGGUCAUUGAUAAUUAAUGCGGCCCGCCGCCCGGACCUUGCCCGCGAGGUCUGACGCGGUGAAAGACAGCGGGCUUACCGGCCGGAAGUUGCCCGGUUAACCAGUCGGAAAAUUCCAUCGGGCUGGCCGAUCCGUACCGUGUCGCAGGCGGGCCGGUGAAGCGAGAUGCCGAAAAACCGCGACUAUGCACGUAGAAGCCGGCGUUGAAACGUCACGGGACCCGGGUUCGAUUCCCGGCGCCUCCAUGA